This 467-nucleotide ribosomal RNA is filed under the name uncultured bacterium. Its description in RNAcentral is "partial 16S ribosomal RNA". It matches the Rfam family "Bacterial small subunit ribosomal RNA", at positions 29 to 507 of the family's 1533-position model. The record is from RNAcentral.
ACGAACGCUGGCGGCGUGCUUAACACAUGCCAGUCGAACGGAAAGGCCCUGCUUUUGUGGGGUGCUCGAGUGGCGAACGGGUGAGUAACACGUGAGUAACCUGCCCUUGACUUUGGGAUAACUUCAGGAAACUGGGGCUAAUACCGGAUAGGAGCUCCUGCCGCAUGGUGGGGGUUGGAAAGUUUCGGCGGUUGGGGAUGGACUCGCGGCUUAUCAGCUUGUUGGUGGGGUAGUGGCUUACCAAGGCUUUGACGGGUAGCCGGCCUGAGAGGGUGACCGGCCACAUUGGGACUGAGAUACGGCCCAGACUGCUACGGGAGGCAGCAGUGGGGAAUAUUGCACAAUGGGCGGAAGCCUGAUGCAGCAACGCCGCGUGCGGGAUGACGGCCUUCAGGUUGUAAACCGCUUUCGCCUGUGACGAAGCGUGAGUGACGGUAAUGGGUAAAGAAGCACCGGCUAACUACGUG